AACGGGUGAGUAAUGCGUGACCAACCUGCCCCAUGCUCCAGAAUAGCUCUUGGAAACGGGUGGUAAUGCUGGAUGCUCCAACUUGACGCAUGUCUUGUUGGGAAAGUGUUUAGUGGCAUGGGAUGGGGUCGCGUCCUAUCAGCUUGUAGGCGGGGUAAUGGCCCACCUAGGCUUCGACGGGUAGCCGGCCUGAGAGGGCGGACGGCCACAUUUGGACUGAGACACGGCCCAGACUCCUACGGGAGGCAGCAGUA
This 254-nucleotide ribosomal RNA is filed under the name uncultured Gardnerella sp. Its description in RNAcentral is "partial 16S ribosomal RNA". It matches the Rfam family "Bacterial small subunit ribosomal RNA", at positions 101 to 355 of the family's 1533-position model. The record is from RNAcentral. Lineage: Bacteria; Bacillati; Actinomycetota; Actinomycetes; Bifidobacteriales; Bifidobacteriaceae.